AUGUGUUGAUAACUGGGAUGUGCAGGUGAGUGAGCCGGUCAAGGAUCGAUUCGGACAAAGCGGUAGAUUGUAUGACAAGCGACAGUUUAUUCAGAGUGAAGAUAUCUGGUACAGCGUAUACGGGCCCGUUCAUUCAGCUCAUAAGGAACCUCCAGAAAGAAGCCCCGCUAACAGUGUGCACAUGUAUUAUAUACAGAACAGAAAGUAGGUUGAUUCUAGAAGAUCGGGUCUUCGGAUUGGUUCAGGCUGGAGUGUAGUCUUCUUGUAUUGGCUCAGUUGGACCAUCUGUCAUCAUAGAGUCUCGUCGUACCUGUCCUUGGUCACACAAUGUUCAGCUAAAAAGGAGAUUAGGUGUGUGCGUGUGUGUUCCUCUUUCUCAGGGUUGGGGUGCCUCUGCAGCUGGUGUUUGUCACGAGAUAGUGUAUCAGACUCAGCAACCCCUCAAUGGCGCUUUGUGGUUAGGCCGCUCGCUGUUAUGUAGAGAACAGGAUGUUCCAGUGUCUGUGUGUGUUGACCUUGAGUAUGUGUGAAGGAGGGUGUAAUGUGUUAUAGCAGCUCAGCUUGUGGUAAUAGGGCAAAUAAGGUAAAACUAAACUGCGUUCUAUUUAUCUUCUACAAAUCCCUCUCUUCACACCUCCGAAGAGGUGUGACAAACCACAGCAUAAUAAGCAUAGUAUAAUACAUUUGAGAAAAGUAAGUAAAACCACCCAGUUCUCCACAUACCUUGUACUAAGUUGGCUACCAGCCACCUAGGAACUUAAAACCCUUAUUAGGGAGAACCCCAACACUCUGCUGCAAAAUAGGCAUAUAAAACACACAAGGCAACUUUUUACCAACCGGGAAAAAGUUGUGAUUCCCUCUCUUCACAUCUCCAAAGAGAUGUGACAAAACCUAGUAGGCACUCUCAACCUCAUCCUCAAAUUCUGGCAGGUCAUUGUCAAGCAGAGGAAACAUCUGGGAAGGGGAGGAAGGGUCAAUAGCUCUAGAGAUAACCCUAGUGGUAAGAGAAAAUGGUGUGAAAUUUAAGUCCCCCUUUUGACACCCGCUAGGGUGUCACUCAGCAAAAGCAGGAUAACACUUUAUUGUUUAUUGAUAUGUAAGAUACAGGAUAAAACUUUGGUCAUGGAAAACAGAGUAAAGCAGAGCAAAGCAUUAUUAUAAACCAUCUGGUCCUCUCAGCUACUCCUAUCCUGCACCAGUUGGGCUUCAUGCCACCCAGGGACUCGAAACCUUCACAACAGGGAGAACAAACAUACUGGAAAGAAAACCUAUCAUAAAAAAUGUAUAACAAGGAACUGUGGUGGUGUAAGAUUUAUUCUACUACCUCACCCACAGCAUACCAUGGGUCAUCCUCAGUCAGUCUCAUCCUCCCCUGAAAGCAUGCUUCAGUAUCAGCAUCUCCAACUGGAGCAUCAAGCAAAGGCAUCAUCAUGCCUGAAGCCUUCACCACAUCUGUAACAGACUUCUUAAAACACGGUAUGAUGCAAGCAGCACAACACAUCAAUAACAAAAAUACAAGAAUUAGGGUCAGAAAUCCAGUAACCACCAUACUAGUGUACUUACCAAAACAGGCUCUCAACCAAGAGAACAGGCCAGACUCCUCCACCCCCGCCAUGGUCCUCAUCUCAGCAGAUAGUGCAUCAAGUGCAUCAAGCCCACUAAGGGCCUUAGAUAUACUACCAUCUGGACUGGUGUUAUUAGGAAUAUACGUGCAACAUUGUUCACCGAACAUCUAUUCUGUCUGGCAACCCUAGAUGUGGCCUCAAACUGUUCAGACAUACCAGUGAGUGCAUCACGGGGGUAAUUAACAAAACGCUGUUGAUCAUAGUAGAUGUAAUGAGUCCAUGCAGUCUGCCUUGCAUCCACUACGGCUGGACCUAUAAUCCAUCAUUCCUACCCAAGACCUGAAACUCAUGAGGAACCCCCACUGGCACUCCCAACAGGUUAGUGUGUAUGUCAACUACAUCCUCUGUCCAUGUAGCACUACGUCUAUGUCUCCCAUGGAAUGGAAUGUUUUCAGGUCCCCUGGAUACAGAACCCAACAGCUGUUCAGCAGUAACAUCAACAAUGGUCAGUGGAAUUAUCAAACUGGUCAGAGCACACGUACCUUGCCAGUCUCCUCUAAGAAUGGGUCUCAGCACUCUUUUGGGUCCACAGAUCCACCACACAUCAGCCAGACCACUAGUUUGGUUUAGGCCUGUAACUGGCCAAGUGGAAUUAAUGGUUAUGUUACUACUGCAAUCAGCUUCAGGCAAUCUCUCAUAAUCAAUGCCAUUACCUGUACCCGUGAUGCAACUGUAAUUGCCCCCAUAUGCCUUAACACCCCAAGGGGCCCGAUGAGGAGGUACUGUAGGAGACACAAGGCUCAAAGAGGAACAGAGAGUUGAAUUGGGCUGAACCUGGUAAAAACCUCUCAGAAUACACAACCACCCCUCUCCUUCUCCUAUAGAAAAUGGGUGUGUAGCCAGAACAGGUCUAGCAUGACCAAUGUUUCAUGUAACUCAUGCAGUCCUUUCUUUUCAGGGUCUUAGCUGUAUACCUCAUAUAAGACAGCCACAAAUUGUCCCUACCAUCAAAACCAGUCUCAGUGCCUAAUUGAUCAAUAGCUGAAUAGUCUCUAACAUUAAUUACCUGAAUGGGAUUUUUAACACAGUGGUGGCAGGUUCGGUCCAGGGGUGGUAGAGGAGUGUGUCUGGCCCUGGUUCGUCUGGGACCUCUGGUUUUGGCAGCACCUUAAUAGAAUACACACCCAUCGUGUCUGUCCCAGUCCUUUCAGAGAGCUUAAUAGUUUUGAUGGUUAGUAGGAUUUCAUCACCUUUACAAAGUUCAACAGUGCUCCCAGGUUUUCCCCAUAUCAUGGAAAACCUAUCCACCUUUGUGGGAUCCCCCAUGCUAUAAGGAUACCCUCUUCUCCAAUCCCAGAACUGUCCCAAGUCGGUUAUCAUGUAAUCCCCAUACGGACACCCUCCCAAUUUAAUACAAUUUAAUUUAUAAUUUUCGUCCACUUGUUCUGUAGACAUACAUUCAGCACUCCACGGGUCAGAACCUGGAAUCCGCUGGUACAUCACCAUCUAUUUCCAUCGAUUUCUCCAGAGUCCUGGAAAUAAGGCCUCAUACACAGGGAAUUAGACAACAGCUCCAUAAAACUAAAACAGUCACACAGGUGAAUGUAGCCCAUAAUACAGUGAUCAUAAUAUUUUCCCCAUUUUCUGAACAUAUUAUCAAACCCAAUUAAUCAGAGAAGUAUCCACCCCAGAGUUUUCUGUCAACCCGUGAGCCAGGGUGGUCAAACCAGCUGAGGCUUCGGGCACUGAUUCGUCCGGAGCUGUGUUAUUUGGGAUGUCACCCACGAUAAGACAGCUCAGACAAACAGCUUCCAUGUGAAGCCCCACCCUUUCCCCGAGAACACAUCACUCAGCAAGAGCCAGACACAUCCCCACUUCUAUGAACAAAAACAGGGGUGACAGGACAGGGAGGGUUACUUCAUUCGAGAGAUGGCCCCCGGAAUUCUGUUAAUUCCAGUUCUCCUCUCGAACACUGUUUAUUGUUCGACAGUGUAAACGUGUCUUACCCUCACGCCGUGCGAUAUGAAUCCGAGUAGCUCUUUCAGCUGGCUGUCACCAGGAGACCUUGGUAUGGUCCCCCCAACAAGCCUCUGGGACUGGAUUGAGUGACUUCACCUGUAGUUCACCUAUAAUGCAUAAAAUGCUGGACAUACAGGCUUGGUUAACAAACAGUUUCUCAUAUGUUUUAUCUGAUUAUAUCUUUACCUUCUAUGCCCAUUUGUUUAGCUACAUUUUUUUUUAAAUUAUUAGUUUCUUAUCCAAUAAGCCCCAUCCUAUCCUAGACCACAAUUUACCUAUCCCCCUUUUGAUACCUGGCUCUGCCCAGGUAACAACCUUACCUACUCUAAAUAAUGACUUAGGUAAGAUUAGUAUAUUAUCCUUCUGUUCUGACAUUAUCAUGUAGGAGCGCCCCUUUAAUUUUCCACAUGUCCAAUUCUCCCUUUUGUCUCCACUCAGUGACUGUUAUCUACACAUUCUGUUAUCUUUGCUCGUCCUGGCUCCCUUCUAAAACUUCUCCUCUCUGCUCUCCAACCUUCAAGGUCUCUGCAGUGCGGAGGAGGGCUCUUCUGUCUGCCUUUUCCCAUGUUUCCACAUUUUAACUAAAUGUCUCACUGUUUCGCUUUAUCUAAACUCAUGGAUUUAAAAAAAAUUUUUUUUUUUUUUAGAAAAACAUGUCUAUGGUGGCAAUUUCUAAAGCCUUUAUAUAGGUUAAUUAAACUCCACUAUAAUUAAGUUACCUUAAAAAAUAAAUUAAAUUCAAAAACAUUUUUUUUUUUUAUUAUUAUUUUUUUUUUUAAACAGUAUUACCCAUGACCACAGAUUCAUUAUUCAAAUGGCACCCCCUUGUGGCUGAUCAGACCACCCGAGAGAGCCAUGAAAGCAGGUCAAAGGUUACACCAUCCCCCUACAUUCCGUGUUCCAUACCAUAUUAGACAUAUUAAAGAACCCUUUAUCCUUAAAAAAUAAAAAUCACUCGUGUAAUUAAAACUCAUAAAAUAAAAAACUCAUAAAGGUUCCAUAUGUGAGCGUGCCUCUUUAAAAUAUCAUGUCUCUGGGAACAUGGAAAUCCCCUUAUUAUUAUGAUAAUCCCCUCAAACUUAAAUAAUUUGUCUCGAUGUUUCAUGUCUUAUUAUUCAUGUCUUAUUCGUGUUUCUCCAAAUUGUCUCCCCAAAAUACUUCUUAAAUACCCAGCCAUUUAGACACACACACAACUGUGAUAAAUGUGCACUGUCCCUUUAACAUAAAAACCUGCAAUCCACUCUGCGGGCCUUUCAUUGUUCCCCAUAAUGAAAACAGAUUCUAAUGUUAGUAUACCUUGACCUCCUGUUUAAUUUCAAUGAUGUUAUCUGAACAAUCAAACCAAAAUCAAUAACCGGGAAGUACUUGUAUAAAUGAAUUAAAAGAACUAAAUAAAUCUACCUUAUUUCUCAGCACUUGGUUAGAACACCACUCCCGUCUUACAUCGACCACACCCGUCGCCCCGUACCUAGUGUACCACUUAUCUAUUACUCAGUGGCUCAAUUAAUGUUUAACGUAAGUAUGUUCAGAUGUUGAUUAUGUAAUUCUACAAUAUUAGUAUAGUUCAAACCUCAUAAUAUAAA
Molecule: long non-coding RNA, 5167 nt
Organism: Oncorhynchus tshawytscha (Chinook salmon)
Lineage: Eukaryota; Metazoa; Chordata; Actinopteri; Salmoniformes; Salmonidae
Source: Ensembl